Molecule: ribosomal RNA, 699 nt
Filed under: uncultured bacterium
Lineage: Bacteria
Description: bacterial SSU rRNA
Rfam family: Bacterial small subunit ribosomal RNA
Source: RNAcentral
AACGAUGGGUGCUAGUUGUCAGGCAGCAUGCUGUUUGGUGACGCAGCUAACGCGUUAAGCACCCCGCCUGGGGACUACGGUCGCAAGACUAAAACUCAAAGGAAUUGACGGGGGCCCGCACAAGCGGUGGAGCAUGUGGUUUAAUUCGAGGCAACGCGAAGAACCUUACCGGCCCUUGACAUACCAAUCGCGGAUAGCAGAGAUGCUUUCCUUCAGUUCGGCUGGAUUGGAUACAGGUGCUGCAUGGUUGUCGUCAGCUCGUGUCGUGAGAUGUUGGGUUAAGUCCCGCAACGAGCGCAACCCUCGCCUUUAGUUGCCAGCAUUAAGUUGGGCACUCUAGAGGGACUGCCGGUGAUAAGCCGGAGGAAGGUGGGGAUGACGUCAAAUCAUCAUGGCCCUUACGGGCCGGGCUACACACGUGCUACAAUGGCGGUGACAGUGAGCAGCCACUCAGCGAUGAGGAGCUAAUCUCUAAAAGCCGUCUCAGUUCGGAUUGUUCUCUGCAACUCGAGAGCAUGAAGUUGGAAUCGCUAGUAAUCGUGGAUCAGCAUGCCACGGUGAAUACGUUCCCGGGCCUUGUACACACCGCCCGUCACACCAUGGGAGUUGGUUUUACCCGAAGACUGUGUGCUAACUUUUAGAGGCAGCAGGCCACGGUAAGGUCAGCGACUGGGGUGAAGUCGUAACAAGGUAGCCGUA